UACGUAGGGCGCAAGCGUUGUCCGGAAUUAUUGGGCGUAAAGAGCUUGUAGGCGGUUUGUCGCGUCUGCUGUGAAAAUCCGGGGCUCAACCCCGGACUUGCAGUGGGUACGGGCAGACUAGAGUGUGGUAGGGGAGACUGGAAUUCCUGGUGUAGCGGUGAAAUGCGCAGAUAUCAGGAGGAACACCGGUGGCGAAGGCGGGUCUCUGGGCCGUAACUGACGCUGAGGAGCGAAAGCGUGGGGAGCGAAAAGG
This 253-nucleotide ribosomal RNA is filed under the name uncultured bacterium. RNAcentral's name for it is "partial 16S ribosomal RNA". It matches the Rfam family "Bacterial small subunit ribosomal RNA", at positions 524 to 776 of the family's 1533-position model. The record is from RNAcentral.